UAAUACGAAGGGUGCAAACGUUGCUCGGAAUUAUUGGGCGUAAAGCGCACGUAGGCGGCUUGGCAAGUCGGAUGUGAAAUCCCUCGGCUCAACCAAGGAAGUGCAUCCGAAACUGCUGAGCUUGAGUACUUAAGAGGAUCGCGGAAUUCCCGGUGUAGAGGUGAAAUUCGUAGAUAUCGGGAGGAACACCAGUGGCGAAGGCGGCGAUCU
This 210-nucleotide ribosomal RNA is filed under the name uncultured bacterium. RNAcentral's name for it is "partial 16S ribosomal RNA". It matches the Rfam family "Bacterial small subunit ribosomal RNA", at positions 521 to 730 of the family's 1533-position model. The record is from RNAcentral.